GUCACAUGAAAUGACACAGAACCUCCUUGAGUUCCCGUCAGAGAAACCGGGUUUCCAGAAUCCUCCACUUGAGACCCAUGAGUUCCAGAACCGUUGACCACAGUGCUGAAGGCGCCUAGGGCAUUGGAAACAGACACGUGUCCUCGCCGCCUAACUCUGAGAGUCUGGACGAGACGACAUCACGGAUCGAGAGCCCCGAGCACAUCUGGGCCGAUGCCAAGUGCCCAGCGUAGGAGGCAGCUUCCACCGUGGCUGCCCACACGCUGUGGGAGCCCGGGCCCUGGAGUGGGGGCCGUGCCCUGUGACUUGCUCUGGAGCGGAGUGGCUCAAGGUCAGGCUCAGGGAGGCUGUGCUACGGUAACACGCACUCCAGUCGCUCAGGGGCUGAGACAAGGGGAGAUUCUGAGACUGAGGGGGGUCCUGUCACACAAGGUAGAGGCAUCACGCCCUGGUGGCUGCCGCCCCGGGGCCACAGCAGGGAAGGCACACAGGGGAAUCGCCCGUGGGGGCUUCUCUCCCUCCAGAAGCGGCGUGACCUCUGCUCAUGGGUUUGGCCACCUAGUCACAGGGCCCUGGCUCCCUACCCAGAACUUGAAAAUGUGGGAGAAGAUAUGAUGGGUAGGUGAGCUCUGCUGUGCCUGCCACGAAGACCACGCUUCCCCAGACGGUCCCCGAGACACCCUCAAUGUCCUUCCUCAGUCACCUCUUGCAGAGCCGUGACCAGAAGGCAAGGGCCUCCGGGCCGCCCCUCCGGACCCCAAAAUGCCCCAUGCGGCGCAGCCCAGGGGACCUGAUACCCUGGGUCCUUCUGGAGACCGGGAUAGGAAAGAAGGGGAUGGGCAAAGAAUGACCUUGUCCUGAAAGGAAGCCCAUGUGUCCCCUGCAGCAGGGCAGGACCGCCUGGGGGACCGCUGCCUGCCAGGGCCCCAGACACCUCUCCAGGUCCGUGAGCUGUCCUCACGCGGGGCCUGCACCCUCACUGUGUUCACAUCGUUCCUGGCUCUCCCAGGAAGCAGAGAACCCAGAGAAGGGCUCAGGCCAGUAUUGCUUGUAGAAGAUUCCAGAUCCUUCUAUGCAAUGAUGCCCUCACUAACUCCCUCAUUCCGACAGCAGGCGGCUGCAUCCCGCCUGACGCUGCCCGGCCCGGACGGCAGGUCCCUGUCCCCACGUGCCAGCUGCUGUGUCCCAUUGCGGUUUGGAUCUGCUUGUGUCCUUGGCAUGUUGUGUCCCAUUACUUUAGAGGAGCCGCCGCACCUGUCGUAAGAGAAUCAGCCUGUUUUCUAACACAGAUAACGUAAUUCUU
This is a long non-coding RNA of Neofelis nebulosa (Clouded leopard), 1303 nucleotides long. RefSeq lists it as uncharacterized. The record is from RefSeq and is a predicted model, not a curated record. Lineage: Eukaryota; Metazoa; Chordata; Mammalia; Carnivora; Felidae. The transcript has 2 exons.